UGGGGUUGGGCUCAGUGGUAGAGCACUUAUCUCGCAUGCAUGGGACACUGGGUUCAAUCCUCAGCACCAUAU
This 72-nucleotide transfer RNA is filed under the name Marmota monax (woodchuck). RNAcentral's name for it is "tRNA.Ala". The record is from RNAcentral. Lineage: Eukaryota; Metazoa; Chordata; Mammalia; Rodentia; Sciuridae.